Molecule: long non-coding RNA, 1955 nt
Organism: Passer domesticus (house sparrow)
Lineage: Eukaryota; Metazoa; Chordata; Aves; Passeriformes; Passeridae
Exons: 6
Source: RefSeq, a predicted model, not a curated record
CCUCCAGCAUCACCAGGGACUGCCUGUUGAGGAUGAGCCCACACAGGAAAAGGAUGAUGGGGGGCACGAACAUGAUCCCCAAGCCAUAUGCCAUGUUGUACUGGGGCAGGCAGGGGCAGCUGAAGUCCAAGCUGGUGUACAUCUUUACACUUGCCAGGGCCAAGAGCCCACAGAUCCCGUUCAUUACAGACUCCGAGUUGGACUGGAAGUACUGGAAGAUCAUCCGGAAUCGGUCCAUGGUGUUCUUUUGGUCAGGGGUGCUCCUCCUGGAAAUCCCUGGGCUGCCCAGAAGGGCCUGUCUCCCUCUGUCCCUCCUUCUGCUGCCACAGGGCAGGGGAUGCAGCUCAGCUUCCAGUCAGCAGGAGGAUGAGGAUGGAAGAGAGCUGCUGUGAUGGGGGGAACACCCUGUGCUGGGGCUUCCCCACUGGCACACAAAUCUCACAGGGCUGAACCACAUGGCCAGCAGUGACAGCCUCCAGUAGUGCCUGGCCCCUCCCUCCCGGAGAUGGUAACUCUCCAUGGAGAGCCAUUGGUGGGUGCCUGUGAGCUGCUCUCUCUGCUGAUUGAAGCCUGUUCAGUGAUUCACUGCCCAGGAGAAACCAGGUGCCAUCUCCUGACCAGGAUGUUGGAGGUCUGUAAAAGAUGCCUCAGGGUAAUCACUGCUCUUUUGUGAUUGGGAUGUCACCAGAGACUCAGAGCUGAGACAUGGAGUUGUUGAGCUGUAGAAGAAAGGGAAUAUUCCUGAACUUGCAGAGAAAGACAUUCAGAGCUUCCUGGGGAAAGAGAGAAAGGCCUGUUGAGGACAAGGGUUCGUGCUUGUUCAAGGCUUAGAGAAGAUUUGUCACCUUGUGUUUGAGUGAAGGCCAUUGCCACUGUAAAUGGCCUUUCCCAGCAGCCCUGCCUGCAGACCCGUUUGUUGUUCCCCUGCAGCUCAGUUUGGGGCCCCAGUCCACCACUGAGGACAGCAGAGCAAUAUCAUUGCCUUCUUUUUCUCCAAAUCUGGUAGAGGAUUUUACUCCUCACUGCCUGGAAAUCAUUCAGCAUCUUCAAUUUGUCACAGCAGAAGUCAAUUUCCAUUUCAACUGCCCAUGAAGAUGAACAUAGGCAGUAUUUCCUCCUAUGCAAACUUCUGAUGGUCACUGGCUGCAGUGACAAAUUACAGCUUUGUUGGCUCCAUGGGCAGGGACCACCUAAAUCUGUGAUUCUGUGGGUAUUUCUGCACAGCUGUGUACUCUGUCCAGGCUAAGUAAAUAAUGAGUAAUGACCAUUAAAUGAUUAAUGAGAUGCUAGCAAAAAUAAUGGCAGCAUUGUAAAAUGUAGUUUAUCUUCACUAAUGAUGUUCUCUGGAGAUCAGAUAUUCCUGUGUUCUGCCUUGUAACUUCAUUAAAGCACCAACAUCCAGCUGACUGCCAGCGAGGAAAUAUGUGGCUUAGUUCUGUGUUGUUCUUCUUAAGAGCUCAUUAUAUAUUGCUGUCCUGGUCAUUAACACUUUGCUUUUUGGCUUACUUAGAAGCUUUAUUUCCUGAUGUCUGCAUUACCCCAAUCUUGACCUAAUUCACACCAUUUCUGACUGAGGGAGUUUUGUAAGGCCAUUUAUCUGCUUGGCUUGGAACUGAUGCUGCAGUGACAUCAUUUGAGAUAGACUCUGUUCUCUGCUAAGAGGGAAUUAAGGAAUAAGAUGGAGAAUAAAGAAAGCAGACUGAUCUCUAAAUAUUGCGGCUCAGAGGAUUAAGCACAGCUGACUGUGUUUUGCAGCCAGGCACAGGGCUGUGAAGCAGCAUCCCAGUAUCACUGCCGUGUCCUGGGGUGCAGGGGCUUUAAAGCUGGGGAGUGAAGGGUGUCUGCAGAGGGAUUGGAGCAGAGCAAAGCCUCGAAACGGCGGGGAAACAGCUUUUCUUGGUGCCACGAAAGCGAUGCAGCGGCGUUAAGCAGCGCUGAAGAGCGAGCCGCUGUCC